Molecule: ribosomal RNA, 434 nt
Filed under: uncultured Lachnospiraceae bacterium
Lineage: Bacteria; Bacillati; Bacillota; Clostridia; Lachnospirales; Lachnospiraceae
Description: partial 16S ribosomal RNA
Rfam family: Bacterial small subunit ribosomal RNA
Source: RNAcentral
ACGGGAGGCAGCAGUGGGGAAUAUUGGACAAUGGGCGAAAGCCUGAUCCAGCGACGCCGCGUGAGUGAAGAAGUAUUUCGGUAUGUAAAGCUCUAUCAGCAGGGAAGAUAAUGACGGUACCUGACUAAGAAGCCCCGGCUACCUACGUGCCAGCAGCCGCGGUAAUACGAAGGGGACAAGCGUUAUCCGGAUUUACUGGGUGUAAAGGGAGCGUAGACGGCAUGGCAAGUCUGAUGUGAAAACCCAGGGCUCAACCCUGGGACUGCAUUGGAAACUGUCAGGCUAGAGUGCAGGAGAGGUAAGUGGAAUUCCUAGUGUAGCGGUGAAAUGCGUAGAUAUUAGGAGGAACACCAGUGGCGAAGGCGGCUUACUGGACUGUAACUGACGUUGAGGCUCGAAAGCGUGGGGAGCAAACAGGAUUAGAUACCCUGGUA